GACGAACGCUGGCGGCGUGCCUAAUACAUGCAAGUAGAACGCUGAAGAGAGGAGCUUGCUCUUCUUGGAUGAGUUGCGAACGGGUGAGUAACGCGUAGGUAACCUGCCUUGUAGCGGGGGAUAACUAUUGGAAACGAUAGCUAAUACCGCAUAACAAUGGAUGACACAUGUCAUUUAUUUGAAAGGGGCAAUUGCUCCACUACAAGAUGGACCUGCGUUGUAUUAGCUAGUAGGUGAGGUAACGGCUCACCUAGGCGACGAUACAUAGCCGACCUGAGAGGGUGAUCGGCCACCCUGGGACUGAGACACGGCCCAGACUCCUACGGGAGGCAGCAGUAGGGAAUCUUCGGCAAUGGGGGCAACCCUGACCGAGCAACGCCGCGUGAGUGAAGAAGGGUGUCGGAUCGUAAAGCUCUGUUGUAAGUCAAGAACGAGUGUGAGAGUGGAAAGUUCACACUGUGACGGUAGCUUACCAGAAAGGGACGGCUAACUACGUG
RNAcentral lists this ribosomal RNA (497 nucleotides) under uncultured bacterium. Its description in RNAcentral is "partial 16S ribosomal RNA". It matches the Rfam family "Bacterial small subunit ribosomal RNA", at positions 28 to 507 of the family's 1533-position model. The record is from RNAcentral.